Molecule: ribosomal RNA, 292 nt
Filed under: uncultured bacterium
Lineage: Bacteria
Description: partial 16S ribosomal RNA
Source: RNAcentral
GGACUACAGGGGUAUCUAAUCCCGUUCGCUCCCCUGGCUUUCGCGCUUGAGCGUCAGAAACGAUCCAGGACAUUGCCUUCGCCUUUGGUGUUCUUCCCGAUCUCUACGCAUUUCACUGCUCCACCGGGAGUUCCAUGUCCCUCUUUCGCUCUCGAGUCAUCCAGUCUGGAAAGCAUUUUCCUGGUUAAGCCAGGAGCUGUAACCCUCCACUUAAAUGACCGCCUCCACGCGCUUUACGCCCAAUAAUUCCGGACAACGCUCGCCCUCUACGUCUUACCGCGGCUGCUGGCAC